This 403-nucleotide ribosomal RNA is filed under the name bacterium. RNAcentral describes it as "partial 16S ribosomal RNA". It matches the Rfam family "Bacterial small subunit ribosomal RNA", at positions 355 to 776 of the family's 1533-position model. The record is from RNAcentral.
UGGGGAAUAUUGCACAAUGGGGGAAACCCUGAUGCAGCGACGCCGCGUGAACGAAGAAGGUAUUCGUAUCGUAAAGUUCUGUCCUAUGGGAAGAUAAUGACAGUACCAUAGAAGAAAGCUCCGGCUAAAUACGUGCCAGCAGCCGCGGUAAUACGUAUGGAGCGAGCGUUGUCCGGAAUUAUUGGGCGUAAAGGGUACGCAGGCGGUUUAAUAAGUCGAAUGUUAAAGAUCGGGGCUCAAACCCGCAAAGCAUUGGAAACUGAUAAACUUGAGUAGUGGAGAGGAAAGUGGAAUUCCUAGUGUAGUGGUGAAAUACGUAGAUAUUAGGAGGAAUACCAGUAGCGAAGGCGACUUUCUGGACACAAACUGACGCUGAGGUACGAAAGCGUGGGGAGCAAACAGG